CACUCAACUGAAACGCGCGAAUUCCCUCGUUCUCUCUUCUGUUCAACAGAUCGGCGACCGUCGCCGACGCCGCUACCAGUUCCGUCCUCAUCAACACCACUAAAUCAAAACCUAACAAACUACAGUUACACUCAUGGCAAUGGAAUCACCCUAUAGGCGAAGAAUCUGUGGAAUCGCCCUCAGUCACAAAGAACCCUAGCCUAAUCAACAAUCAAAUAAACACUCCUCACUGCAAAUUAACACCUAAUGCCAUGUGGUUUUUGAUCCUUCACCUAAAUGCUAGGUAACUGUGUGCUCAGAACAAGAAAGCGAAAAUAAACGGUAAACGAUAUACCGGAGAAGAUGAUCGGAGAAGUUUUCCGGUUGGUUUAAGUGGAAUUGUUCUUAAAGUGAAGGAUGACCUGCUGAGCAGGUUUUGAUGAUUAGUGCAAUGGGACCAAAUAAAGUUGUUUUAGUGAAAUGGUGGAGCAAAGUGUUAAUGGCCGUAGCAGGUUUUGAAUCCAUUGGAUCCAAUGGCUUGUGAGGUGCUGGAUUGUGUGAAUCAAGGUUUCAAAGUGCAUAACUUCUCUUUGCCCUCACCUGUUUUCCUCCUGUUCUAACUCAAGGUUUGGCCAUGGUAAAAUGUGGUGCAACCUUGGACAUCACUUGGCUCCAAAGUGUGCCCUGUUAUGACCCUUCUCAAUGCAACAUGAGAGCGUGGAAUGCUGGCUGCAAGAUUUGCUCUCAAUUCCAAACAAACCUACUGUGUUCACAACUCAAGGCAAUGGUGCAACAGUUAGCACCUCAUCCCAUUAUCUCAUUGCACAAGUGGUUCAUACUCCUGCAGGUAUGGUUGACAUACCCUAAGUCUCCAUUUCACUAUUGCAUUUCUGUGUUUUCUCUUGACUUGCUCCAGUUGACAGGAAUUCCACCAUGACUACUAACUUGGUUUGGUGUUAAGCAGCAGUACUGCAGGAAGGAUGCUUACAAGAACCAACUGAUUUUUUGAUGAAUGUGGUCAAAUGAAAUUGGAUUGGUAACAUGUUGCAGGUGGUAUUUCAAUACGCUCAUCAUGGCAAUUAAUGAUUUGCUUGUUGUUCAACAUGAUUAUGGUAACAAGGAGCUCAAGUACCAUCUUUUAUUCUUCUGCAUUUCCUACUUGUGAUGUCAAGUGGCAGCUGGUGUUAGGUUAAUUGGUUGGUCUCAUUGGUUGUCAACCAUUGCUAAUGACUUUUGAGUUGCAUUGACCAAGGUAUCUCUGCAGGUUAGGCAUCAUGCAAGACUUGUAAUUGGCUUUAUUGCAGGAUGAACUGGUUUUUCUUGAAGCUUCCUUGUAGGAUUAUGCAGGUCUAUUACUUGCUAUGCCUGAUGUUAUGGUGUUGGUUUUGGUUUGCCAUGUCUGGGACUGUUUCAUGGAUGCACAAGGAUGGUUUUUCUCACAGCAGGUUUUGGUCUUGGUGUAUAACUGGUUUUGGUGCAGGAUUGGUCUUGGCGCAGGCUGCAGGUACCAAUGGUGUCUAACCCAAAUGCAAACACACUUGACCACCUCUCUCACAUGUUGGUUUGAUAGAGAUGAGCCUCAAGCUUGCAGUUGGUUUUCUAACUGCAUGAUGCAAGAUCAUGAUGAAUUACUGCAGGUAAUGCCAUGUUUGGUUGGUUCCCUCACUGGUAGGAUUGGCUGCAGAUACCAAGUGAUGGUCGUGCUGCAAUGACUGAUGCACAACCAUGUUCACUUGUAACUUGACAUACUCCAUGUGCUGUAGGUGAUGUCCAGGUUAGCUGGAAUUUUCAAGGGCCUGAAUGGUAUUGUUCUGGCAGAUGGUUACCAAUGGAUAUUCCAUUACACACCCUGAUGUUGUUUGCAGGUUCAUCAACCUUAGAUUUGGUGUCAUUAUCAUUCCUACAGUUGGAUUCAAGUGAACCUUGGCUCAGGUAAAGCAACUAGGUUUGUCAACACAAGGUCACACCUUCCUGAUAACUCUGGUUUAACAUGGUGACAGUCAUUUUUGUAAGUUGUCUUUCUUGGUUAUGUAGCACAAAUACAGUUUUCUUCAUGAGGUAUCAUGAUGUAGUCUUGUUUGGCACAAUGAACAGCCUAUGGCAGACCUUGCAAACUGUAGGUUGCAGCAAGUGCAUGUAUACCAACUUUAUUUGUUACAUGUUAUGUGGUAUUGGAUUAUGCUCACACUGAUUUUGCUGCAGGAAAAUCCAAUGAUCAUGGUUUGGCUUCAACCUUCACAUGCGGCUAACUGGUUUUUUUGGUUGGGUUAUUUGCAGGCUGAUGGUGUGUUGAUUCAAUGUCAUUCCAUGUUGAGCUUGUGGCAGUAGUAUGGUAACAGAUCUGGCACAGUGCAGGUACCAGCCAUUUUGUAAUGGAUAUGGAUGACCAUUGUUGUUGUGUUUUGCAGCAGGUCAUGAGGGGUUGCAAGGUUACAGUCAAGUCCACAAGCCUGAUGCUUAAAGCUGAGGCAAGAUCUCAUGGCAUGUGGUGUGAAGGCAAAUCUCAUGGUUCUUAAUCAACAUCUCAUGGUUCAUAAGGAACAUGGAUAGUUGUGGCAUGGCAAAAACAUGGUGGUGGAGGAUAGCUUGCAAAUGAAGCAUUCAUGAUGGAAGAAAACAUGAGUAAUGGAGUGAUGGAUUAAGGUUUAGGAUGGAAGAUUUAGGACUUUAGGAUGUAAAGAGGUUGAGUUGACUUUGGUCAAAGUUGACCAAAAAGUCAACUGUUGACCAAAGUCAACAAAUGGUCAAAAAUGGCAUUUCUUUGUAUUUUCUUUAUGACUUCUUUGUAAAUGGAUAUUCGAUGGACAAUUAUGGGUGAAAUUAGGGUUU
Molecule: long non-coding RNA, 2808 nt
Organism: Lathyrus oleraceus (garden pea)
Lineage: Eukaryota; Viridiplantae; Streptophyta; Magnoliopsida; Fabales; Fabaceae
Exons: 5
Source: RefSeq, a predicted model, not a curated record